CCUACGGGGGGCAGCAGUGGGGAAUAUUGGACAAUGGGCGAAAGCCUGAUCCAGCCAUGCCGCGUGUGUGAAGAAGGCCUUCGGGUUGUAAAGCACUUUCAGUGGGGAAGAAAGCCUUGGGGCUAAUACCCUCGAGGAAGGACAUCACCCACAGAAGAAGCACCGGCUAACUCCGUGCCAGCAGCCGCGGUAAUACGGAGGGUGCGAGCGUUAAUCGGAAUUACUGGGCGUAAAGCGCGCGUAGGCGGUCUGAUAAGCCGGUUGUGAAAGCCCCGGGCUCAACCUGGGAACGGCAUCCGGAACUAUCAGGCUAGAGUGCAGGAGAGGAAGGUAGAAGUCCCGGUGUAGCGGUGAAAUGCGUAGAGAUCGGGAGGAAUACCAGUGGCGAAGGCGGCCUUCUGGACUGACACUGACGCUGAGGUGCGAAAGCGUGGGUAGCAAACAGGAUUAGAUACCCCGGUAGUC
This 465-nucleotide ribosomal RNA is filed under the name Vreelandella stevensii. RNAcentral describes it as "partial 16S ribosomal RNA". It matches the Rfam family "Bacterial small subunit ribosomal RNA", at positions 338 to 795 of the family's 1533-position model. The record is from RNAcentral. Lineage: Bacteria; Pseudomonadati; Pseudomonadota; Gammaproteobacteria; Oceanospirillales; Halomonadaceae.